AGCUUUUCUUUGCCUUUUGGCUUAGAUCAAGUGUAGUAUCUGUUCUUGAAAGUUUGGUCGACUUUCACGCUUCCACGCGAAGCGAUUCGAUCUAACUUGUUUUUGCAACAUGGAAAUUGUUCUCUGGCUUGCUAUGACAAUUUUCACUGAUGGCCUGAGAGUUGCACUGUUUCUUGGAGCUGUCGAAUUGCU
Molecule: small nuclear RNA, 192 nt
Filed under: Neolecta irregularis DAH-3
Lineage: Eukaryota; Fungi; Ascomycota; Neolectomycetes; Neolectales; Neolectaceae
Description: U2 spliceosomal RNA
Rfam family: U2 spliceosomal RNA
About the family: U2 is a small nuclear RNA (snRNA) component of the spliceosome (involved in pre-mRNA splicing).
Source: Rfam by way of RNAcentral